Molecule: ribosomal RNA, 83 nt
Filed under: uncultured bacterium
Lineage: Bacteria
Description: partial 16S ribosomal RNA
Source: RNAcentral
CUGCUGCCUCCCGUAGGAGUCUGGCCGUGUCUCAGUCCCAGUGUGGGGGGCCUUCCUCUCAGAACCCCUACGCAUCGUCGCCU